This 1267-nucleotide ribosomal RNA is filed under the name Dinoderus minutus. RNAcentral describes it as "16S ribosomal RNA". The stretch from base 1031 to 1189 matches the Rfam family "Archaeal large subunit ribosomal RNA", at positions 2542 to 2701 of the family's 2987-position model. The record is from RNAcentral. Lineage: Eukaryota; Metazoa; Arthropoda; Insecta; Coleoptera; Bostrichidae.
UCUUUUUAUUUUAUUUUAUUUUAUUUUAUUUUAUUUUAUUUUAAUUAAAGUAUUUUUUUUUUAUUUUUGAAAAAAUUUUAUUAAUUAUAGUUUAUUAGUACAGUAGUGGGAUAAUUUUUUUGAUUUUAAAAGAAGACUUUAUUUUUCGUACCUUGUGUAUCAGGGUUUAUUAAUUAUGUAUUGAGUAUUUGAUUUUCCCGAAUUAUUAUGAUUUAGUUUUCUAUAUAUUUUAUUGUAAAAUAAAUAUUUAUUAUAGGAGAUUUGAAGUGAAACGUUAUUCGUAUAGUAGUAUAUCUGGUUUUAUUGUAAUUUUAUUUAAUUAUAUCUUAAUAGAAGAAUUUUUUUAAAUAAAAAUUGAGAUUUUCGUUGAGUUGAAGUUUUAAGGGGAUAAGCUCUUAGAUUUUUUUUAUAAUUUUUAUUUUAGGUUUUUUUGUAGGAUUAGAAUUUUUCUUCUUUAUUAAGUAAUAUUUACGUGACUAUUAAAUUAAAUUUUUAUUUUUUUUAAAUUUUUUACAAUGAAGUUAAUUUAAAUUUUUAUUGUUAAUUUAUAAUGAUAGAAUUAGUAUAUUUAUUUAUAUUUCUAAUGUUUUUUUUUUAGUUAAUUUAAAGGAAUUCGGCAAAUUCUUUUUUGCCUGUUUAUUAAAAACAUGUCCUUGUGUUUAGGAUGCAAGGUCUAGUCUGCCCAAUGAUUUUUUAAAUGGCCGCGGUAUUUUAACCGUGCAAAGGUAGCAUAAUCAUUAGUUUUUUAAUUGAUAACUGGAAUGAAUGGCUGGACAAGAGAAGCACUGUCUCUGAAUUAUUUUUAGAAUUUUAUUUUUAAGUUAAAAAGCUUAAAUUUUAUUGGAAGACGAGAAGACCCUAUAGAGUUUUACUUUAAAUUAUCUAUUUUAUUUAUGGAAAUUUAUUUUUAAUUUGUUAUUUAUAGUUUUGUUGGGGUGACAGGGAAAUUUGUAAAACUUUCUUGAUUUUAUUUAUUUAUUUAUAUUUAUAUGAUCCAUUUUUUAUGAUUUUUAGAUUUAAUUACCUUAGGGAUAACAGCGUUAUUUUCCUUUAGAGUUCUAAUCGAUGGGGAAGAUUGCGACCUCGAUGUUGGAUUAAAAUUAACUUUUGGUGUAGAAGCUGAGGUGUUUGGUCUGUUCGACCUUUAAAAUUUUACAUGAUCUGAGUUUAGACCGGUGUGAGCCAGGUUGGUUUCUAUCUCCAAUUUUAUGAUUAGUCUAGUACGAAAGGACCGGCUUUUCAAUAAAUUAUUUUAUUUUGCUUAUUU